RNAcentral lists this ribosomal RNA (253 nucleotides) under uncultured bacterium. RNAcentral's name for it is "partial 16S ribosomal RNA". It matches the Rfam family "Bacterial small subunit ribosomal RNA", at positions 524 to 776 of the family's 1533-position model. The record is from RNAcentral.
UACGGAGGGAGCUAGCGUUGUUCGGAAUUACUGGGCGUAAAGCGUGCGUAGAUGGUUAUGUAAGUUAGGUGUGAAAGCCCCGGGCUCAACCUGGGAAUUGCAUUUAAGACUGCAUAGCUAGGGUGCGGAAGAGGGAAGCGGAAUUUCCGGUGUAGCGGUGAAAUGCGUAGAUAUCGGGAGGAACACCGGUGGCGAAGGCGGCGACCUGGGUAGAUACUGACGCUGAGACGCGAAAGCGUGGGGAGCGAACAGG